This 828-nucleotide non-coding RNA is filed under the name Amitermes sp. ANIC 0644. The record is from RNAcentral. Lineage: Eukaryota; Metazoa; Arthropoda; Insecta; Blattodea; Termitidae.
GUGAAGUUUUAUUCUUGCUUUGUCAUUCAGUUUUUGUUUGUUCUAUAUGUAAGUUCUUGCAUGAUUAUUAUCUUAGUUCUAGAUGGGCUAGAAGGAUUUUUGUUUGUUUAUAAUUCUCAUUAGUUGUUAUUGGUUGAUCAAGUAUUCUUGUAUUCAGCAAUACUAUUCAGCAAUACAUUUUGGUUUCGGUUAAAUUUUGUGCCAGCAGCCGCGGUUAUACUUUGGAAGCAUUUGAAUGUGUUCGGCAUUUGUAGUUAUUUGUUAGAAUUUGAUUGAUUGUGUUUUGGUAAUUGUUAGGUGAAAUUUUUAUUAUUUUUUAUUUCUUUUAUCUGUUUGGAGGCUAUGAAAUUCUUUUUAUAGACUAGGAUUAGAUACCCUAUUAUUUUAGAAUGUUAAUUCGUUUUUGCCUGAGUAGUAUUAGUUAUGUUCUUGAAACUUAAAGAAUUUGGCGGUAUCUCAUUCCGUCCAGAGGAAUCUGUCUCGUUAUCGAUAGUCCACGUUGGACCUUACUUGGUUGCUUUGGUUUGUAUACCGCCGUUUAUUUGAUUAUCUUUUUAGGGUUUUGAAUUUUCUGGUUUCCUUAUUUUGGUUUUAUUUCAGGUCAAGGUGCAGCUUGUUUCUAAGUGAAUGAUGGAUUACAUUGAUUAAUUUGUUUUUGGAUUGCUUGCUUGAAUUUGGGCAUGAAAUUGGAUUUGGUUGUAAUGAUUUGUAGAUUGUUAUUAUGAUAAUUGGUUCUGAGAUAUGUACACAUCGCCCGUCGCUCUCGUUACUGUUAAAUGAGAUAAGUCGUAACAAAGUGGUUGUACCGGAAGGUGCAGCUGGAUUGAA